UAUGGGCAACUGGUUAAAUUUUCCUCCACACAGGUUUUGAUAAAUCUUCCCCUAUGUGUGUGAUUCGUUAACCCCUUAAGAACCAGGGGACUAUCAACAGCAAUUACUUAAUUGCUAUUACAGUUCAUUGCUAUGCAUUGGUAUUGCUGACAUCUGCUAUUAGAGGUGAGGUCCGGCUGUCUAUGAAGUCUUUCAAAUAGUGCCACAUCUGUCCUGGGAUUGUGUGUAGGAUUUAGUCAAGUAAUGCUAUCCACCACCCACUGCAGCAUAACCACGCCCCCCUGGAGACCAUGUGACUUAUACAUGAAAAUGGGACAAAAUGGAACAUGGAGACUUCGAUGGGAGAAAAACACCACGAUUUUAG
This is a long non-coding RNA of Hyla sarda, 364 nucleotides long. RefSeq lists it as uncharacterized. Lineage: Eukaryota; Metazoa; Chordata; Amphibia; Anura; Hylidae. The transcript has 3 exons. The record is from RefSeq and is a predicted model, not a curated record.